This 23-nucleotide small nuclear RNA is filed under the name Arabidopsis thaliana (thale cress). Its description in RNAcentral is "snRNA_07808". Lineage: Eukaryota; Viridiplantae; Streptophyta; Magnoliopsida; Brassicales; Brassicaceae. The record is from RNAcentral.
AACCAAUAUUUAUAUAGUAAGUU